This 468-nucleotide ribosomal RNA is filed under the name uncultured bacterium. RNAcentral describes it as "partial 16S ribosomal RNA". It matches the Rfam family "Bacterial small subunit ribosomal RNA", at positions 28 to 507 of the family's 1533-position model. The record is from RNAcentral.
GAUGAACGCUGGCGGCGUGCUUAACACAUGCAAGCCGAACGGAAAGGUCCUGCUUUUUUUGGGUGCUCGAGUGGCGAACGGGUGAGUAACACGUGAGCAACCUGCCCGCGACUUUGGGAUAACUUCAGGAAACUGGGGUUAAUACCGCAUAGGAGCUCCUGCUGCAUGGUGGGGGUGGGAAAGUCUCGGCGGUUGGGGAUUGACUCGCUGCUUAUCAGCUUGUUUGUGGGGUAGUGGCUUACCAAGGCCUUGACGGGUAGCCGGCCUGGGGGGGUGACCGGCCACAUGGGGACUAAGCUACGGCCCAGACGCCUACGGGAGGCAGCAGUGGUGGAUAUUGCACUAUGGGCGCAAGCCUGAUGCAGCAAAGCCGGGUGGGGGAUGACGGACUUGGGGUUGUCAACCGCUAACACCUGUGACGACGCGUAAGUGACGGUAACAGGUGAAGAAGCAACGGCUAACUACGUG